GGUUUUGCUCCAGUGUUUGGGUUUCUUUGCGGCUGCUCAAGAUCAACCAGUUCUUCGGGGAAGCGAACCCCAAGGCUCCACCGCCCAGCCUGACUGACUGCAUUGGCACGGUGGACAGCAGGGCAGAAUCCAUUGACAAGAAGAUUUCUCGAUUGGAUGCUGAGCUAGUAAAGUAUAAGGAUCAGAUCAAGAAGAUGAGAGAGGGUCCUGCAAAGAAUAUGGUUAAGCAGAAAGCAGAAAGCCUUGCAAGUUUUAAAGUAAAAGUGGAUGUAUGAGCAGCAGCAGGGCAAUCUUGAACAACAGCCAUUCAACAUGUAACAAGCCAAUUAUACCAUCCAGUCAUUGAAGGACACCAAGACCACGGUUGAUGCUAUGAAACUGGGAGUAAAGGAAAUGAAGAAGGCAUACAAGCAAGUGAAAAUCAACCAGAUUGAGGAUUUACAAAUCCACCUAGAGGAUAUGAUGGAAGAUGCAAAUGAAAUCCAAGAAGCACUGAGUCGCAGUUAUGGCACCCCGGAACUGGAUGAAGAUGACCUGCAAUUCCGGAAGGUGUUCCCACUGACACAAAAAACAAGGAUGAAGUUCUUCUGGUGGAUGAAUUUGGAUUGCCACAGAUCCCUGCUUCAUAGAUCAGCAU
Molecule: RNA transcript, 637 nt
Organism: Piliocolobus tephrosceles (Ugandan red Colobus)
Lineage: Eukaryota; Metazoa; Chordata; Mammalia; Primates; Cercopithecidae
Gene name: charged multivesicular body protein 5 pseudogene
Exons: 1
Source: RefSeq, a predicted model, not a curated record